Long non-coding RNA from Perca fluviatilis (European perch), 129 nucleotides. RefSeq lists it as uncharacterized. Lineage: Eukaryota; Metazoa; Chordata; Actinopteri; Perciformes; Percidae. The transcript has 3 exons. The record is from RefSeq and is a predicted model, not a curated record.
GUAUGACAGGUCAUAGAGGCUGUAUGACAGGUCAUAGAGGCUGUGUGACAGGUCAUAGAGGCUGUGUGACAGGUCAUAGAGGCUGUGUGACAGGUCAUAGAGGCUGUGUGACAGGUCAUAGAGGCUGUG